Long non-coding RNA from Cygnus olor (mute swan), 659 nucleotides. RefSeq lists it as uncharacterized. Lineage: Eukaryota; Metazoa; Chordata; Aves; Anseriformes; Anatidae. The record is from RefSeq and is a predicted model, not a curated record. The transcript has 2 exons.
ACAAAAAGCUCGGAUAGCAUGUGAAAUACUUGCCAUAGCCAUGCCUGGGAGGAGGCAAGGGUAGCUACAGGGCAUGCAACUACCUCCUAAAGAGACAAAAGUUCUCCGCUACCAGCCCUGGAGGAAUCCGGGGCUGCUAUCAAGAACCAAACCUCUCUCAGGAGGUAGACAAAAGCCAUAGAGUUAUCCAAAAAAUUUCCAGAUGCAUGCCUGGGAGGAGGCAAGGGUAGCUACCAGGCAUGGACCUAGCUCCUAAAGAGACCAAAGUUCUCCGCUACCAGCCCGGGAGGAAUCUGGGGCUGCUAUCCAGAACCAAACCUCUCUCAGGAGGUAGACAAAAGCCAUAAACUUAUCCAAAACAUGUUACAAAGGCAUGCUCGCGAGGACGCAAGGGGAACGACCAGGCACGCACCUACCUUCAAAAGGGACAAGAGCUCUCCAGUACCUGCUGUGGACGAAUCUGGGACUACUACCCAGACGUAAGGAAACACUAUUUUACUGGGUCCCUAACACAGACGACACCAUUUCUAAAUCCACGGAUUCCUCCUUCCUCCACAGAAAGGAAACUGGGCACUCGUCAAUACACCUGCCCUGGAGCGCUUCUGGAUGCUGCAUGAGUUUCUCUCUCCCUGCAAUUCGGUAAAGAACACGCUGCAAAA